RNAcentral lists this ribosomal RNA (253 nucleotides) under uncultured prokaryote. RNAcentral describes it as "partial 16S ribosomal RNA". It matches the Rfam family "Bacterial small subunit ribosomal RNA", at positions 524 to 776 of the family's 1533-position model. The record is from RNAcentral.
UACGUAGGCAGCAAGCGUUGUUCGGAGUUACUGGGCGUAAAGGGUGUGUAGGCGGUUGUUUAAGUUUGGUGUGAAAUCUCCCGGCUCAACUGGGAGGGUGCGCCGAAUACUGAAUGACUCGAGUGCGGGAGAGGAGAGUGGAAUUCCUGGUGUAGCGGUGAAAUGCGUAGAUAUCAGGAGGAACACCGGCGGCGAAGGCGGCCCUCUGGAUCGUUGCUGACGCUGAGACGCGAAAGCGUGGGGAGCAAACAGG